AGUCACUGACAUUAGAUACCCGCGUAGUCCCAGCCCUAAACGAUGCGCGUUAGGUGUAUCGGUGACCACGAGUCACCGAGGUGCCGAAGGGAAACCGUGAAACGUGCUGCCUGGGAAGUACGGUCGCAAGGCUGAAACUUAAAGGAAUUGGCGGGGAGCACAACAACGGGUGGAGCUUGCGGUUUAAUUGGAUUCAACGCCGGAAAUCUUACCGGGACCGACAGCAACAUGAAGGCCAAGCUGAAGACUUUGCCGGAUUAGCUG
RNAcentral lists this ribosomal RNA (264 nucleotides) under uncultured archaeon. RNAcentral's name for it is "partial 16S ribosomal RNA". It matches the Rfam family "Archaeal small subunit ribosomal RNA", at positions 716 to 982 of the family's 1478-position model. The record is from RNAcentral.